This 474-nucleotide long non-coding RNA is filed under the name Chloebia gouldiae (Gouldian finch). RNAcentral describes it as "Erythrura gouldiae (Gouldian finch) lncRNA (ENSEGOG00005019056.1)". The record is from RNAcentral. Lineage: Eukaryota; Metazoa; Chordata; Aves; Passeriformes; Passeridae.
CUGGCACUCAAAAGGGGCUCUGCUGUCCUGCCGGACCCUGGCACCUGCUGCAUGUUCUGUCCUUGGGAGCCCUUUGUAACUGGGACCUGUUUUUGCUUCAGACAGAGUGACUUCUGCUGUCCUGUUGUGUGAGUGUUACGGCAGCUCCCUGCUGAAUGUUGGACUCUGAUGGGAGCCUUAAGAUGUACCACAAGUGAAGCAGAUACUGUUAAAGGAAGUUUUGGGGGGAUCUUUCACAUGGAGAAGAUUGAGAGAAAUGAGCAAUCUUUCUCACAAACAUGAUGAGGUAUGACAAAUGCAGAGAUUCCCAAGAGAGGCACUGUCCAUCCUGAAUAUCUUCUAAAAUAUGGGAGUCUGACCCUUCAGAGAUAAUAUGGCAACACACUGGUGAUUAUGCUCUGCGAAUGGAGCUGGAUUAGUGAAGAAUCUCUACAUGGCAAUCAACUCUGGAGAACUUUUCCUCGUGCAGUCAGG